CCUACGGGAGGCUGCAGUGGGGAAUAUUGGACAAUGGGGGGAACCCUGAUCCAGCCAUGCCGCGUGUGUGAAGAAGGCCCUCGGGUUGUAAAGCACUUUCAGUGAGGAAGAACGCCUGGUGGUUAAUACCCAUCAGGAAAGACAUCACUCACAGAAGAAGCACCGGCUAACUCCGUGCCAGCAGCCGCGGUAAUACGGAGGGUGCGAGCGUUAAUCGGAAUUACUGGGCGUAAAGCGCGCGUAGGUGGCUUGAUAAGCCGGUUGUGAAAGCCCCGGGCUCAACCUGGGAACGGCAUCCGGAACUGUCAAGCUAGAGUGCAGGAGAGGAAGGUAGAAUUCCCGGUGUAGCGGUGAAAUGCGUAGAGAUCGGGAGGAAUACCAGUGGCGAAGGCGGCCUUCUGGACUGACACUGACACUGAGGUGCGAAAGCGUAGGUAGCAAACAGGAUUAGAUACCCGGGUAGUC
RNAcentral lists this ribosomal RNA (465 nucleotides) under Vreelandella stevensii. RNAcentral describes it as "partial 16S ribosomal RNA". It matches the Rfam family "Bacterial small subunit ribosomal RNA", at positions 338 to 795 of the family's 1533-position model. The record is from RNAcentral. Lineage: Bacteria; Pseudomonadati; Pseudomonadota; Gammaproteobacteria; Oceanospirillales; Halomonadaceae.